Long non-coding RNA from Etheostoma spectabile (orangethroat darter), 88 nucleotides. RefSeq lists it as uncharacterized. Lineage: Eukaryota; Metazoa; Chordata; Actinopteri; Perciformes; Percidae. The record is from RefSeq and is a predicted model, not a curated record. The transcript is spliced from 3 exons.
CGGGUUUGAUUCUGACCUGCGGCACUUUGCUGCAUGUCAUUCCCCCCUCUCUCUCCCCUUCAUGUCUUCUGCUUUAAAUGCCUAAAAU